Molecule: ribosomal RNA, 496 nt
Filed under: uncultured bacterium
Lineage: Bacteria
Description: partial 16S ribosomal RNA
Rfam family: Bacterial small subunit ribosomal RNA
Source: RNAcentral
AUUGAACGCUGGCGGAAUGCUUUACACAUGCAAGUCGAACGGUAGAGGGGGCAACCCCUCGAGAGUGGCGAACGGGUGAGUAAUAUAUCGGAACGUGCCCAGUCGUGGGGGAUAACGUAGCGAAAGUUACGCUAAUACCGCAUACGAGCUAAGGAUGAUAGCGGGGGACCGCAAGGCCUCGCGCGAUUGGAGCGGCCGAGAUCAGAUUAGGUAGUUGGUGAGGUAAAGGCUCACCAAGCCAACGAUCUGUAGCUGGUCUGAGAGGACGACCAGCCACACUGGAACUGAGACACGGUCCAGACUCCUACGGGAGGCAGCAGUGGGGAAUUUUGGACAAUGGACGCAAGUCUGAUCCAGCCAUUCCGCGUGCAGGAUGAAGGCCCUCGGGUUGUAAACUGCUUUUGUACGGAACGAAAAGGUCUCUCCUAAUACGAGGGGCUCAUGACGGUACCGUAAGAAUAAGCACCGGCUAACUACGUGCCAGCCGCCGCCGUAA